CAGCCAUGCCGCGUGCGGGAAGAAGGCCUUCGGGUUGUAAACCGCUUUUGUCAGGGAAGAAAAGGUUCUGGUUAAUACCUGGGACUCAUGACGGUACCUGAAGAAUAAGCACCGGCUAACUACGUGCCAGCAGCCGCGGUAAUACGUAGGGUGCAAGCGUUAAUCGGAAUUACUGGGCGUAAAGCGUGCGCAGGCGGUUAUGCAAGACAGAGGUGAAAUCCCCGGGCUCAACCUGGGAACUGCCUUUGUGACUGCAUAGCUAGAGUACGGUAGAGGGGGAUGGAAUUCCGCGUGUAGCAGUGAAAUGCGUAGAUAUGCGGAGGAACACCGAUGGCGAAGGCAAUCCCCUGGACCUGUACUGACGCUCAUGCACGAAAGCGUGGGGAGCAAACAGGAUUAGAUACCCUGGUAGUCCACGCCCUAAACGAUGUCAACUGGUUGUUGGGAGGGUUUCUUCUCAGUAACGUAGCUAACGCGUGAAGUUGACCGCCUGGGGAGUACGGCCGCAAGGUUGAAACUCAAAGAAAUUGA
RNAcentral lists this ribosomal RNA (531 nucleotides) under uncultured Roseateles sp. Its description in RNAcentral is "bacterial SSU rRNA". It matches the Rfam family "Bacterial small subunit ribosomal RNA", at positions 389 to 913 of the family's 1533-position model. Lineage: Bacteria; Pseudomonadati; Pseudomonadota; Betaproteobacteria; Burkholderiales; Sphaerotilaceae. The record is from RNAcentral.